ACGCCGCGUGAGUGAUGAAGGCUUUCGGGUCGUAAAACUCUGUUGUUAGGGAAGAACAAGUGCUAGUUGAAUAAGCUGGCACCUUGACGGUACCUAACCAGAAAGCCACGGCUAACUACGUGCCAGCAGCCGCGGUAAUACGUAGGUGGCAAGCGUUAUCCGGAAUUAUUGGGCGUAAAGCGCGCGCAGGUGGUUUCUUAAGUCUGAUGUGAAAGCCCACGGCUCAACCGUGGAGGGUCAUUGGAAACUGGGAGACUUGAGUGCAGAAGAGGAAAGUGGAAUUCCAUGUGUAGCGGUGAAAUGCGUAGAGAUAUGGAGGAACACCAGUGGCGAAGGCGACUUUCUGGUCUGUAACUGACACUGAGGCGCGAAAGCGUGGGGAGCAAACAGGAUUAGAUACCCUGGUAGUCCACGCCGUAAACGAUGAGUGCUAAGUGUUAGAGGGUUUCCCCCCUUUAGU
RNAcentral lists this ribosomal RNA (460 nucleotides) under uncultured bacterium. RNAcentral describes it as "bacterial SSU rRNA". It matches the Rfam family "Bacterial small subunit ribosomal RNA", at positions 394 to 844 of the family's 1533-position model. The record is from RNAcentral.